CUGAUGUGGAAAGUGGAAAGAGUUUGUCCAGGCAGCAGCAAGAAAGCUCCAGGAGAAAAUCGCCCAUCAUCCCUCAACCCCUUGCCAGUGCCUUAAUCUGAUCCCCGAGGAACAACGCAGAGGCUUCACUCUGGAUGACAAACGAGGAGGGGAGAGGCCUGCCCUGCCUGGACUCCGGGUGAGUAAUGGCUUUGCAUUAAGAUAUUAAGCCUGGACGACAAGAAAUGUGCU
This is a long non-coding RNA of Odocoileus virginianus texanus, 231 nucleotides long. RefSeq lists it as uncharacterized. NCBI's taxonomy places the organism in Eukaryota, Metazoa, Chordata, Mammalia, Artiodactyla, Cervidae. The record is from RefSeq and is a predicted model, not a curated record.